UGUAGCCACACAAGAGACAAAUUAUUCGGUCUAGUCUGAAUUAGUGUUUAAUUGUUAAUGGAAAUCAUUCAUUAAACUAGAGUAUUAUGGAAGGAAACUCAUAUUAUUACCUUUCAUCUGUGGAUAUCCGGUUUGGGGUUUGCUCAUCGUUGAAGCUUUUAAGAUGACAUACAUUUUUUAUUAUAUAUGUCCGUUGGUCUAUUGUGGAGAAUUGUGUCAUUUGCAUUCCUUCCAUAUCUGCUUAUUUUUUUUAUAGGUCUGUCCUUAUUUAAACUCGUU
RNAcentral lists this long non-coding RNA (279 nucleotides) under Mytilus galloprovincialis (Mediterranean mussel). The record is from RNAcentral. Lineage: Eukaryota; Metazoa; Mollusca; Bivalvia; Mytilida; Mytilidae.